This 129-nucleotide ribosomal RNA is filed under the name Enterobacter cloacae. Its description in RNAcentral is "partial 23S ribosomal RNA". The stretch from base 1 to 111 matches the Rfam family "Bacterial large subunit ribosomal RNA", at positions 2812 to 2925 of the family's 2925-position model. Lineage: Bacteria; Pseudomonadati; Pseudomonadota; Gammaproteobacteria; Enterobacterales; Enterobacteriaceae. The record is from RNAcentral.
UCCUUGAGAGUCCUGAAGGAACGUUGAAGACGACGACGUUGAUAGGUCGGGUGUGUAAGCGCAGCGAUGCGUUGAGCUAACCGAUACUAAUGAACCGUGAGGCUUAACCUUACAACGCCGAAGGUGUUU